RNAcentral lists this ribosomal RNA (706 nucleotides) under Staphylococcus saprophyticus. Its description in RNAcentral is "bacterial SSU rRNA". It matches the Rfam family "Bacterial small subunit ribosomal RNA", at positions 100 to 794 of the family's 1533-position model. Lineage: Bacteria; Bacillati; Bacillota; Bacilli; Caryophanales; Staphylococcaceae. The record is from RNAcentral.
GACGGGUGAGUAACACGUGGGUAACCUACCUAUAAGACUGGGAUAACUUCGGGAAACCGGAGCUAAUACCGGAUAACAUUUGGAACCGCAUGGUUCUAAAGUGAAAGAUGGUUUUGCUAUCACUUAUAGAUGGACCCGCGCCGUAUUAGCUAGUUGGUAAGGUAACGGCUUACCAAGGCGACGAUACGUAGCCGACCUGAGAGGGUGAUCGGCCACACUGGAACUGAGACACGGUCCAGACUCCUACGGGAGGCAGCAGUAGGGAAUCUUCCGCAAUGGGCGAAAGCCUGACGGAGCAACGCCGCGUGAGUGAUGAAGGGUUUCGGCUCGUAAAACUCUGUUAUUAGGGAAGAACAAAUGUGUAAGUAACUGUGCACGUCUUGACGGUACCUAAUCAGAAAGCCACGGCUAACUACGUGCCAGCAGCCGCGGUAAUACGUAGGUGGCAAGCGUUAUCCGGAAUUAUUGGGCGUAAAGCGCGCGUAGGCGGUUUCUUAAGUCUGAUGUGAAAGCCCACGGCUCAACCGUGGAGGGUCAUUGGAAACUGGGAAACUUGAGUGCAGAAGAGGAAAGUGGAAUUCCAUGUGUAGCGGUGAAAUGCGCAGAGAUAUGGAGGAACACCAGUGGCGAAGGCGACUUUCUGGUCUGUAACUGACGCUGAUGUGCGAAAGCGUGGGGAUCAAACAGGAUUAGAUACCCUGGUAGU